This 508-nucleotide ribosomal RNA is filed under the name uncultured bacterium. RNAcentral's name for it is "partial 16S ribosomal RNA". It matches the Rfam family "Bacterial small subunit ribosomal RNA", at positions 28 to 507 of the family's 1533-position model. The record is from RNAcentral.
GACGAACGCUGGCGGCGUGCCUAAUACAUGCAAGUCGAACGCUUCUUUCCUCCCGAGCGCUUGCACUCAAUUGGAAAGAGGAGUGGCGGACGGGUGAGUAACACGUGGGUAACCUACCCAUCAGAGGGGGAUAACACUUGGAAACAGGUGCUAAUACCGCAUAACAGUUUAUGCCGCAUGGCAUAAGAGUGAAAGGCGCUUUCGGGUGUCGUUGAUGGAUGGACCCGCGGUGCAUUAGCUAGUUGGUGAGGUAACGGCUCACCAAGGCCACGAUGCAUAGCCGACCUGAGAGGGUGAUCGGCCACACUGGGACUGAGACACGGCCCAGACUCCUACGGGAGGCAGCAGUAGGGAAUCUUCGGCAAUGGACGAAAGUCUGACCGAGCAACGCCGCGUGAGUGAAGAAGGUUUUCGGAUCGUAAAACUCUGUUGUUAGAGAAGAACAAGGACGUUAGUAACUGAACGUCCCCUGACGGUAUCUAACCAGAAAGCCACGGCUAACUACGUG